RNAcentral lists this ribosomal RNA (721 nucleotides) under uncultured bacterium. RNAcentral describes it as "bacterial SSU rRNA". It matches the Rfam family "Bacterial small subunit ribosomal RNA", at positions 62 to 795 of the family's 1533-position model. The record is from RNAcentral.
UCGACGGACUCAUAUUGAAACCUAGUGAUUUAUGAGUUAGUGGCGGACGGGUGAGUAACGCGUGGAAAACCUGCCGUAUACCGGGGGAUAACACUUAGAAAUAGGUGCUAAUACCGCAUAAGCGCACAGCUUCGCAUGAAGCAGUGUGAAAAACUCCGGUGGUAUACGAUGGUUCCGCGUCUGAUUAGCUAGUUGGCGGGGUAACGGCCCACCAAGGCAGCGAUCAGUAGCCGGCCUGAGAGGGUGAACGGCCACAUUGGGACUGAGACACGGCCCAAACUCCUACGGGAGGCAGCAGUGGGGAAUAUUGCACAAUGGGGGAAACCCUGAUGCAGCGACGCCGCGUGAGUGAAGAAGUAUUUCGGUACGUAAAGCUCUAUCAGCAGGGAAGAAAAUGACGGUACCUGACUAAGAAGCCCCGGCUAACUACGUGCCAGCAGCCGCGGUAAUACGUAGGGGGCAAGCGUUAUCCGGAUUUACUGGGUGUAAAGGGAGCGCAGACGGCAAGGCAAGUCUGAUGUGAAAGUCCGAGGCUCAACCUCGGGACUGCAUUGGAAACUGUCUGGCUAGAGUGCAGGAGAGGUAAGUGGAAUUCCUAGUGUAGCGGUGAAAUGCGUAGAUAUUAGGAGGAACACCAGUGGCGAAGGCGGCUUACUGGACUGUAACUGACGUUGAGGCUCGAAAGCGUGGGGAGCAAACAGGAUUAGAUACCCUGGUAGUC